CAGUAGCCGCGGUAAUACAGAGGGUGCGAGCGUUAAUCGGAUUUACUGGGCGUAAAGCGUGCGUAGGCGGCUUCUUAAGUCGGAUGUGAAAUCCCUGAGCUUAACUUAGGAAUUGCAUUCGAUACUGGGAAGCUAGAGUAUGGGAGAGGAUGGUAGAAUUCCAGGUGUAGCGGUGAAAUGCGUAGAGAUCUGGAGGAAUACCGAUGGCGAAGGCAGCCAUCUGGCCUAAUACUGACGCUGAGGUACGAAAGCAUGGGGAGCAAACAGGAUUAGAUACCCCAGUAGUCCCUGUCUCUAUACA
Molecule: ribosomal RNA, 301 nt
Filed under: uncultured bacterium
Lineage: Bacteria
Description: partial 16S ribosomal RNA
Rfam family: Bacterial small subunit ribosomal RNA
Source: RNAcentral